GAUGAAGAACGCAGCGAAAUGCGAUAAGUAAUGUGAAUCGCAGAAUUCAGUGAAUCAUCGAAUCUUUGAACGCACAUUGCGCCCGCCAGUAUUCUGGCGGGCAUGCCUGUUCGAGCGUCAUUACAACCCUCAGGCCCCCGGGCCUGGCGUUGGGGAUCGGCGGAAGCCCCCUGCGGGCACAACGCCGUCCCCCAAAUACAGUGGCGGUCCCGCCGCAGCUUCCAUUGCGUAGUAGCUAACACCUCGCAACUGGAGAGCGGCGCGGCCACGCCGUAAAACACCCAACUUCUGAAUGUUGACCUCGAAUCAGGUAGGAAUACCCGCUGAACUUAAGCAUAUCAAUAAGCGGAGGA
Molecule: unclassified non-coding RNA, 353 nt
Filed under: soil metagenome
Description: partial contains 5.8S ribosomal RNA, internal transcribed spacer 2, and large subunit ribosomal RNA
Rfam family: 5.8S ribosomal RNA (bases 1-120)
Source: RNAcentral